UCCUCCGUGGCGCAAUUGGCUAGCGCGUCUGACUGUUAUUCGCAUUGCGAAUGGAUAAUCAGGAGGUUCGUGGUUCGAGCCCACGCGGGGGAG
This 93-nucleotide transfer RNA is filed under the name Corynespora cassiicola Philippines. It matches the Rfam family "tRNA". Rfam says of the family: Transfer RNA (tRNA) molecules are approximately 80 nucleotides in length. Their secondary structure includes four short double-helical elements and three loops (D, anti-codon, and T loops). Further hydrogen bonds mediate the characteristic L-shaped molecular structure. tRNAs have two regions of fundamental functional importance: the anti-codon, which is responsible for specific mRNA codon recognition, and the 3' end, to which the tRNAs corresponding amino acid is attached (by aminoacyl-tRNA synthetases). tRNAs cope with the degeneracy of the genetic code in two manners: having more than one tRNA (with a specific anti-codon) for a particular amino acid; and 'wobble' base-pairing, i.e. permitting non-standard base-pairing at the 3rd anti-codon position. The record is from Rfam by way of RNAcentral. Lineage: Eukaryota; Fungi; Ascomycota; Dothideomycetes; Pleosporales; Corynesporascaceae.